RNAcentral lists this non-coding RNA (22 nucleotides) under Arabidopsis thaliana (thale cress). Lineage: Eukaryota; Viridiplantae; Streptophyta; Magnoliopsida; Brassicales; Brassicaceae. The record is from RNAcentral.
UAAGUGUAGUGCAUGUUCGACA